This 227-nucleotide ribosomal RNA is filed under the name uncultured bacterium. Its description in RNAcentral is "partial 16S ribosomal RNA". It matches the Rfam family "Bacterial small subunit ribosomal RNA", at positions 383 to 607 of the family's 1533-position model. The record is from RNAcentral.
CUGAACCAGCCAAGUAGCGUGAAGGAUGACUGCCCUAUGGGUUGUAAACUUCCUUUAUAAAGGAAUAAAGUCGGGUAUGCAUACCCGUUUGCAUGUACUUUAUGAAUAAGGAUCGGCUAACUCCGUGCCAGCAGCCGCGGUAAUACGGAGGAUCCGAGCGUUAUCCGGAUUUAUUGGGUUUAAAGGGAGCGUAGAUGGAUGUUUAAGUCAGUUGUGAAAGUUUGCGG